RNAcentral lists this ribosomal RNA (253 nucleotides) under uncultured bacterium. Its description in RNAcentral is "partial 16S ribosomal RNA". It matches the Rfam family "Bacterial small subunit ribosomal RNA", at positions 524 to 776 of the family's 1533-position model. The record is from RNAcentral.
UACGUAGGGGGCAAGCGUUGUCCGGAAUCAUUGGGCGUAAAGCGCGUGUAGGCGGCCCGGUAAGUCCGCUGUGAAAGUCCAGGGCUCAACCCUGGGAUGCCGGUGGAUACUGUCGGGCUCGAGUCCGGAAGAGGAGUGUGGAAUUCCUGGUGUAGCGGUGAAAUGCGCAGAUAUCAGGAGGAACACCAAUGGCGAAGGCAGCACUCUGGGACGUGACUGACGCUGUGACGCGAAAGCGUGGGGAGCAAACAGG